Molecule: ribosomal RNA, 488 nt
Filed under: uncultured bacterium
Lineage: Bacteria
Description: partial 16S ribosomal RNA
Rfam family: Bacterial small subunit ribosomal RNA
Source: RNAcentral
GACGAACGCUGGCGGCGUGCUUAACACAUGCAAGUCGAACGCGCCUGUCCUCUGGGUUUCUGGGGGGUGGGUGAGUGGCGAACGGGUGAGUAACACGUGAGUAACCUGCCCCCUUCUUCGGGAUAACGGUCUGAAAGGGCUGCUAAUACCGGGUAUUCACUGGUCUCCGCAUGGGGUCUGGUGGAAAGGUUUUUUUCUGGUGGGGGAUGGGCUCGCGGCCUAUCAGCUUGUUGGUGGGGUGAUGGCCCACCAAGGCUUUGACGGGUAGCCGGCCUGAGAGGGUGACCGGCAACAUUGGGACUGAGAUACGGCCCAGACUCCUACGGGAGGCAGCAGUGGGGAAUAUUGCACAAUGGGCGCAAGCCUGAUGCAGCGACGCCGCGUGAGGGAUGGAGGCCUUCGGGUUGUGAACCUCUUUCGCCCGUGGUCAAGCCGCGACGUGGGUCGUGGUGAGGGUAGUGGGUAAAGAAGCGCCGGCUAACUACGUG